AGAAGACAGCGCGCUAGCUGUCUAGUCUCUGUAUGUCUAUGGUGGGCACGUCUGGUAGCAUCUCUGGCUGCUGUUGAUCUUGUUUUUGGAGUAAAACACGGUGGAAGCUGAAUUAGUGAGGAUGACUCCUGCUCCUGUCAUCUCUAAGCUCCUCACACAUCUUUACCUGCACAUGAGGAAAAUCACUCCUGUAGAAUGCAGAUGUUCAGAGGGAGAUGAUGCCACAUCUGGUCCAGCUGAUGGAAGGUCUUGAAGUUCUCUGACUGGCCUCGACUGAAGAUGGUCGUCUCACUGGAUUUAAGGUUCAGAUGCUCAGUAACAAACUCCACCAAUGAGCCAACAGGGAAGCUUUAGGUUUAUUAAAUGUUGCUAUGAAGGUAUCGCUGUUUUUCUUUGUGAAUGCAAUGUGCUCCAACUGAAACUUGAAUUAGAACUUAGAAGUAAAUCCUUCCAUCUGAAAGGAUUUAGUUGCAUUAAUAACCUCAUAACAUUCUAAUUUUUAUUCCAGUCUUGGUUGGAAAUAGAAUCUCUGUAUUGAUUCAGGUAAAAACUGAACUUCACAGCAUGUUGAAGCAAAACAACCAGAUGAAAACUGUGAUGGUGUUGGAUUGUCAGACCGUAAUGUUGCAGCUCAAAGCAGCUUUUCUAUCUCAGUUCAUUCUGACAUUCAGCUAUGAAUCAACACAGCAGAUGGUGAUCCAUGCUGUGGAAGUCUCACAUCUCCUGAUUUAAUGGAGCUGCUUUGCACUUUUUACACUGUUUAUUCACCAACACUUUAUUUAAUAAAAGUCCCAUCUAGUUUUUAUGAGGAAUGUGAUGUUUUAAUUUCUCUGUGAAUAACUGCAGUCUAAUGCAACAGCUGGAGUUGUAACAUCUGUCCUGAUAUUGAUCAUGAAGUAUUGAUCAGAAUACUUAUGGUCAGCAGUCAUCCCUGAAGUUUUACAUUAAAAUCUUUACUUGUGUUGUGAACUUUGGUAAGAAGCAGAAACGUUAGCGUUGCCAUGGAUACAUGAGUGUUAAAUUCUGUCCAUGUUUCCAUUUUGGGAAAUGCAGUCCAGUUCCAGAAUGUGGAGGAAUUUAGUCUCACAAUCACAGACAACAAAUAUUAUCUGAAAGUCGGGUUAUUGUUGUUUAUCAGCACAAUACAAAAAGAUUAAUGUUAGAAAUAUUCCAGUUAAGACUCUAGAAUAUCAUGAUUUAUGUAAAUUUACCUCAAUAAUAUGAAUGUUCAGGUUAAGAUUGUACAGUGAUAUUUAUUAUGUAAGUUUAGCUGAUUAAAGUUUAUGACUCUGCACUAAAAUAUUAUUUAAAUUGACAUCAUUAUUAUAAUAUUUAGGGUCAGACCCUACAGUAUUGAGAUUAAGAAAUCAAAUAUUCUAUAAAAUGUAAAUACACUGAACUCAUUUGGAUAUAUUUAAGUGAGACUCUACAAUAUUAUUUGACACAAAUCUAUCUAAAUCAAAAUUUUAAUAAUUUUCAAGCCAAACAUUUACUGGACUGAUUUAAAUAUUAAAAUCACUCCUUUCUAAUCCUCUGCUGUACGUUCAAACCUGAGGCCUUAAAUAGAAACACACAAGUAUCUGAUUGAAGGAACUUCUGCAGAGUCCUGGUUCCAGAACAUGAUGAUAGAAUUAUAGACAAACUUUAACAAAAGCUGCCUGAGAGUUUACAGGUUUUUAUGUUGGAUUUCUUCAGUAAUUUAAUGAGCGUUAUCAGCAAAAAUCAAGUGUUCAUUUGAUGAACUUCAUUUCCUAAAACAUCCAGAAUUGGAGCUCAUAUCUUUGGCAGCUGUAAAGUUUCUGCUCCUUCAAAGUUCACAACACAAUGAAUUAAUUCCUAAAACACUCUCAAUGCUGGAGAGCGUUUGUGAUGCUGAAGCAGUGACCAGUUUUUCUGUUUCUUCUCUGGAGAUGCACAAUGAGGGACGUCUGCAGAGACUGAGAAAGAGUCUCACCACAUCCUGACAUGAGGAAAAAGACUUUAUUGAAGACUACAAUGAGAAAAACUAUCAGACAGCAGACGGCUGCAUUCAAGGUGAGCUCUGAACAUUUGAUCUGGAACAGGAAUUCAAUAACGGCAGCAUGAGCUUCAUUUCAGUCUGUAGCUGCUGAAUUCAUGGAUGAAUCAUCUGGCACUAGAGAAGAAGACCAUCAAACAUCCACGUCAGCUGAUGGAGGUCCAAGAGUCUCACCGAACAAACAACCUACAGAGUGAAGACCUCAAAUCUGAUUGGACGGCCUCCUAUUCAGCCACAUUUUAGGCUGUUAGAUUGUUCCAGAUAAGACAAGUACAAGAUUCUUCAGAGCCGUUCUACCACGAGCCUGACAGGAAGAACUCCAACAGCUACUGAAUGUUCCUGUGGUCCCCUCAAGGCUACAGGAGGAGUCCUACGAGGACGAGCCGGUCCACCUGAUGGCGGCCAGUCGCUGCGGUUCAAAGCCAACACCGACUACGUGGACUUCUACUGGACCACACGGAGGCCUUCAAACCGGACCAACAAGUUCAGCGACUCCCCGACUCGUGGGUCUGAGGACGCCGCCGAGCCUCGGUCCAGCCGGCCUCCUGUCUGUGGGUGUUUGAGUGCUGAGAGGUUUGUGGAUGCAUGUGAACGUGUCUGUGUUGAAACAGCAGCUUUUGACUCAGUAACGCCGGGAAAAACCAAGAGCUCCUUUAUUUGUGACUUCCACUAAAAAAACUGAUGAAAAUAAGUUUGCCAGGGUUCUGACUGAUAACAGAUUAUUAAAUAAUGAAAAUAAUCGUUUAAAUAUUCCUUUAAACAAUCCUUUUAGGUCUACAUUUCCUUUACACUGACUUCUUGGUAUAUGUACAAGUAUUUUGGGUGGAAUAUACCAUUAAGCCCGAUGUUCAAGGGUUCUUCUGGGAAUAUACCAUUAAACCAACCUUUUAGGUAAAUGUUCCAGGAUGUUGGGUAGAAUAUACCAUCAGAUCAACCUUUUAGGUCUACAUUGGAAGAUUUUAGAGUAGAAUAUUACUCCAAACCAUCCUUUAGGUCUACAUUUAAGGUGGAAUACUCCUUUACACCAAGAUUUUUUGGUCUACAUUGAAGGAUUUUAGGUGGAAUAUUCCUUUGAACGAACUUUUUAAGUUUAUGUUCAAGGAUGUUGGGUGGAAUAUACCAUCAGACCAACCUCCAAGGUCUACAGUAGUGAAUUUUAGGUGGAAUAUACCAUUAAACUCACCUUUUAGGUCUACAUUGGAGGAUUUUAGGUGGAAUUUUCUUCCAAACCGUCUUUUAGUCUACAUUUAAGGAUGUUUAGGAUGGUAUAUUCUUCCGAACCAACUUCUCAGGUCUACAUUUCAGGUGGAAUAUUCCUCCAUACUAACUUUUUUGGUCUACAUUGAAGGAUUUUUUCUAAACCACCCUUUCGGGUCUAUAUUUGGGGUUUUAGGUGGAAUAUUCCUUUUAACCAGCCCCUCAGGUCUCUUUGAGGAUUUUGGAUGGAAUACUCGGUUAAACCAACAUUUUAGGUGCAUGUCCAAGGAUUUUUGGUGGAAUGUUCCUUUAAGGUGGAUGUUUGAGGACCUUGUAGGUGGAAUACUUCCUGAAACCAACCUUUUAGGUCAACAUUCAAAGAUUUAAGGUGGAAUAUUCCUUUAAACCAACCUAAAUUUCAUGUUUUGAUCAUUAUCAAGUGAGAAACCUCAAUCCAGACUCCUCAUAAUGACGUUUGAGAUUUAUGCUGCUGUUAUUUGUUUAGUCCAGACUAAAUGACAGAAAUCCACAACUGUAAUUUUAUUUCAGGACUCGGUUAUUAAAUGUCAAAACAAUCCAUGUGACUCUAAAAACUCAACAGCUUUACAAACUCUAAGAUUAAACUCUCCACAAGGAUCCAAAAUAAGUUGGACUUCUACAUGAGAGCUUUAAUUAUUCUUCAUCUACUUCCUGAAAAGUUUGGUCAAUAAAAAAGACAAAAACUAAUAUUUUCAGCUGAACUAAAGACAGACUUUGUGAUUUUUCUGCUCACAUGUUGUGUUGUUGUAAACUUACUCUUUCAAAUAAAUAGCCGCCUAACCCCCUGGAAACCAGCGUUUGUCCUGUUUUUGUGUUGCUCCUCGGCGACCCUAGACAGCCGGGUCGUAAUGUUUUUUGAGCAACACACCAUACUAUGACGUUUUUACAAUGAUGGUUCUACUAUGGAACCAGUUUGACAUGUUCAGGUGUUCUUUGUGUGAAAACUCAGAGAUUUCAGGUAUCAGAAGGUGGUUUUCAACUUUCUUUGUUAACUUUCUGCUUCAACUUUAAACUAAAUUUCCUUCACUAACCCAGCCCUCUGGACUUCCAGUAAGCUGUGUUCCUAUUGGCUGUCCAGGUGGCUGCUUGGUGUUAUCAGGAACACCUGAGCAGCUCAGUGUCUUCCUGCUUUAUUUAGCUGCAGACAAACAUUUCCUCUGCUUCUCUUCACCACUGAACCGGGUUUGGCUCCAGUUGCUUUAGU
Long non-coding RNA from Amphiprion ocellaris (clown anemonefish), 4457 nucleotides. RefSeq lists it as uncharacterized. NCBI's taxonomy places the organism in Eukaryota, Metazoa, Chordata, Actinopteri, Pomacentridae. The transcript has 4 exons. The record is from RefSeq and is a predicted model, not a curated record.